CACAAACCAGGAAUUUACAGCUGAAGCAUUGCAGGGAAUACUGACUGAAGACUUUCCCCACUCCCAGGCCCCUGAGCCUGUGUAGGGAUGUGAUUUAGAUUGGACUGUGACAGAAGGAGUGGGAUCGUUUUUUGAUUGAUCUAUUUUCGUAUUUUGUCUGAUGUCGUUUUCCCCGCUUUUCUGGAAUGGGCAUUACUUUAUUUCCCCCCAGUUCACUAACUGUACAGUAGGUGGCAACAUACACAUUCAAUUUGUGUGAACGAAACAGGAACUUCCGGGCAGGCGCAAGCCAUUCUUCAGAAUAAAGAAAGCGCCAGAACUCUGAUGUUAAUAUGAUAACUUUUGUCUCCGUAUUAAAUGUAUGGCUACAGGCUGACUCAGAUUAAGUCUGAGGCCAGUAACAUCAACAGUGAGGACAAACCCAGCCUGCCUCUCUCCCUCCACACUGAGUCCAAACCUACAGUCACUGGGUCCUGAUUGUGACAGUGGAUCCCAGUUUGCACUGCAGGAUCCAGAGAUGGCAUCAGUGAAGCUGGAAGACUGCAGUCAAACACUGGAGCUGAAUGUCAACAUUAAAGAUGAAGAAGAGGAGGAGGAGAUUAGGACAACUGUUAAUCAUGACCCUUUGCUAUGAGAUGAUCCUUGAGAUGUUUCUACAACUUGAUUGGAGUCCACCUGUGGAUACCAUGUUGAGACAUUCUCUACAUCCAGAGAGCAACAGCAGGACGAUCAGAGAGCUAAGAGGUCUCAUCACUGCCCACAUUGUGAAGAGAUUUUCCCAUUUCUGUCAAAGCUAAAAAUACACCUAAUAAUACACACAGGAGAGAAGCCUUACUCCUGCUCUGAUUGUGGAAAAUGCUUCAAAACAUCAACGGUGCUAAAAGUUCACCAGAAGACUCACACAGGAGAGAAGCCUUUCUUCUGCCCUGACUGUGGAACUAGUUUCUCUCAACUUUUCCGCUUAAAAUCACAUGAACGUAUACAUACAGGGGAGAAGCCAUACUCCUGCUCUGACUGUGGAACUAGUUUCUCUCAACUUUCGAACUUAAAAAGACAUGAACGUAUACAUACAGGGGAGAAGCUAUGCUCCUGCUCUGACUGUGGAAAAUGUUUUAAAACAUCAACUGAUCUAAAAGUUCAUCAGAGAACACACACAGGAGAGAAGCCAUACUCCUGCU
This is an RNA transcript of Salmo salar (Atlantic salmon), 1178 nucleotides long. RefSeq lists it as uncharacterized. The record is from RefSeq and is a predicted model, not a curated record. Lineage: Eukaryota; Metazoa; Chordata; Actinopteri; Salmoniformes; Salmonidae.